GAGGAAAUGUGUCAGAGGGGUUAAUCCUGCACGUAUUCAGCGGCAGCUCUGAGGGGAGAAAACUACGCCAGGGCCCCCGUGUGACCACGCAGCACAGAGCGCCGUCACUGAUCGCACGUGAGUUCAGUCCAGAGAGAGAACGGCUGCUGUCGAUCCAGGAGGGACAGACAGGGUCACUCUGCAUCCAUCAUGCUCAUCCAAAGCUCUCCGGUCUUAAAGUCAGAGGUCUCAAACCUCUGGACUGCAGAACCUCUUCAGUAUUCCAGCCCUGAUCCCCGAGCAGAGGAUGAGAAGGAAGACUGCAGAAAAAACAAAGGGAGUGAAAUGAAAGCCAUACAUAUGUUCAUAUCGCAGCAGUAAUAAAGA
Long non-coding RNA from Notolabrus celidotus (New Zealand spotty), 366 nucleotides. RefSeq lists it as uncharacterized. NCBI's taxonomy places the organism in Eukaryota, Metazoa, Chordata, Actinopteri, Labriformes, Labridae. The record is from RefSeq and is a predicted model, not a curated record. The transcript has 3 exons.